GAACGUGUGUAAUUGUGUGAUUGAAUGCUUGUGUUGCUUAUGAAUUCGAAUUAGAAAUAUGGUCGGGUCAUGCUUAAGAUAUGUUAUGUUUGGCUUGGAAUAGAAGAUUAGACAAUAUAGGAUUAUUGAAUGUCACGAACACUUAGAGAACACUACAUUACGAAAUUCGAGAGUUAGAAAUAAAUGAUAAUCGGUGGAUUCUGAAUAGCUGAUACGCACAUUUCAUAAUACGAUAAAAGCUAAUCUUUUAUAUUAUUAGUAGCUUUAUUUAGGAUCAUUAAAAAUAAUCAACUUUUUUGUGCAACACAACAAAUUUUAUACAAUUAGUAAUCUAUAGUUAACAAUUAUUUGUCAUGGAAUGAUACCUUAGCUCAUCACAUUAUUACUUGUCAACGAUCCCGUACGCAUGCUAGUUUUCUCCAAACAUACACUUCUACCAUCAAAUUGAUCCAUUUCACCAUAAUAAUUAUGAUAUUUGAUAAUUUGUUAACUAUCUUAAUUAACUCAAAGUGUAAGUAAAUUGUCACCACAAUUUCUCAUAGUUGCACGACUUUUUAUUUUCAUUACAAGCACCCAAUCUUUGCUUUUUAUAGCGCUUAUGUUUUAAAUGUUUUUCAUAACGUUUUUAUCAUCAACAUUUCAUUAAUUAUAAAAUCUUAUUCUUUAUGAUGAUUUAUAUCCAUAAAGUGGUGUAAGAAGACUUAUUUAUCCUUCAUAGUUUAUAAAAAUAUAGCAAUUAGAAAAGAAUGGGGAUUUUUACUAUAAUUAAAAAGUGGUGCAACCAGAAAAUAAUUUAAUGUCAAUGUAGCCACUCUUAACUGAAUUACCUGUGUACGAAAUGGCCAAAGCGUAAACCUCUCCCGCUCCUCCCUACCAUAAACUACCCAAAUUCAACCAACUAGCCAUUGUGAUUUUACACCGUAAUUAGGUUUUGACUAGUCUAAGACUUCCACAUCCCUUUAGUUUUAAACACCGUCAGUUGGAUUUUACCCUUGCAAAGAGUUUUUUUUAGCCGAGCUUGAUUAGUCUAGUUGAUAAAUUCUAUUAUCCAGUUGAUUUUAUAGGGGUGUUUGAUCUACCUGUCUGCCAGCUAUUGUAAUGGCUUUUGCUUCUUCCAAAUCUAAUUUCUUGAAAAGAGAGAAAGGGAUUAAGUUAAUGUUUACUUCUUUAAGUCACACAAUGCUUUAUCUAUAUAUUUGUUACACAAUGCUUUAUCUAUAUAUUUGCUACCAAUACUGCAAGGCUUCUGUAAAUGGUAAGUUUAUAAAUAGCUUCUUGAACAUAUCUAAAAACAUUCCGAACUACUUAUCAAGCUUGAACUUCUACCGUCACCGUUGGAAUGGAAUCGGACAUACAUAAUCUUUGACAGGAAUGGUUGCUCUAACCCGUCGAUUGUCUGAAAGACUCCAUUUGAUUUUCUUUUGUGGUUUUGUUAGACUGAUCCACUUGUUCCUCACCUUGGGCACCUUUUUUGUAAUAAUAGCAAGCUGUUUCAUGUGUAAUUCUUGUAACUGACCUCCACUACAUAAAUUGAUGGCCUUUACCUAUUCUCUAGAAUUUAUCUCUGUGUUGUUAGGCAAGGUCCCUUGGGUUGUACUUGAUAAAGUGGCUAUUAUCUUUCCCAUUGCUGCUCUAAAGUCUAGAUAGAUGCGUGCUGGUUUUAAAAAUUAGUCUCAGUCUUCAUGAUAUAUUGAGUGAGCAAGUGUUCCGAAAAGGACUUUUUAUCUUGAGGUUGUUGUUGAUGCUAGAAACAUGGUGGUCUGCUUUUCAUAAUUAUCUCAUUGUCACUGUCCUUGAUUGUUGGUCCACAAAAAAUUAGGAUUAUUCCUCCACGAAAAAUUGGCUCUCACCCUAAUCAAAUCCUCCAAGAAAUUGAAAACAUAUUUUCAGGCUCAUGACAUUGAGAUAUUAACCCAUUUUUCGUUGAAGCAAGUUCUACAUGAACCCAACGCUAUCAGAAGGCUAAAAAAUGGGCAAGUAAGCUCAUCUAGUUUGAUAUCGUUUCUGACCUAAAUCUACUAUCAGGGAUCCAUCACUGGCUGGAUUUUUUUUUUCCUCCAAUUUUACCUGGGAAACUCUAAUUACCAUGGAUAUUGAGAAUUUGCAGUCUUCGGAAUAGAGGCCAUAUAAAUUGGUUUUUGAUGGCUAGUUCAAAGAGUCACGAUUAGAAUGGGAUAGUCUUAGUAAGCUCGAAUGGACAUCACCCGAUCUGCACACUAAAGUUCAGCUUCCGUGCUUCGAACAACUUAGAAGAGUAUGAGGUACUAAUCAUCGGGCUUAACUUGCCAAAAGAGAUCCAAUAAAAAGAAAACCAAGUCAAUAACAAAUCUUAGCUCGUUGUAAACUAGGUGAAUGGUAGCUUCAUCGAUAAGGACGUGAGCAAGGCUGCAUAGAAAAUUAUUGAACGCAAAAUCUGGCAACAUAUUGAACACAAAACUCGAUA
RNAcentral lists this long non-coding RNA (2443 nucleotides) under Olea europaea subsp. europaea. The record is from RNAcentral. Lineage: Eukaryota; Viridiplantae; Streptophyta; Magnoliopsida; Lamiales; Oleaceae.